This 649-nucleotide long non-coding RNA is filed under the name Androctonus crassicauda. Lineage: Eukaryota; Metazoa; Arthropoda; Arachnida; Scorpiones; Buthidae. The record is from RNAcentral.
CUUGAAUUCAUAAAACUCGGUUACACAUUUUUUAUAUUUUCAAAAUAUAAAAUUUAAAAUGAUUUUUAUUGCUAUAAGUUAUUUAAUAAAUUUGAACACUUAUGAUUUUCUUAUUAAAACAUGAAAACCUCAUAAGAUUAUUAUUUUUUUUAAAUUUGAAACUUUUUAUAUACAAAAUGGACUAUUAUUCUAGUUUAUAUAGUCUGAUAUUUAAGGAUCGACUAAGCGGAUGUACGGAAGAACGGUGGUUUACCAUCUGAAGAAUCGGGAUCAAAUUACGGUCACACACCUCAAUUUUUCAGAGCGACUUCCUUCCCCAUCUCAACGCAUAGGUCAACUACAUUGCAGGUCUGGCCAACCCGUCAUUAAGCUUCUAAUGGUUCGUUGCCUCAAUCCGUUCAUGCAGAUUCAGCUGUAUAGAAUGUCACAGGCAACCAGUUGCGCUGCGAAUAGCAGAAAAAAGCUAUAAGAGUUAAUAAAACAUUUGUUUUUAUCAUUUAUAUGAAGUAGAGUAGUUAAUCGUCGAUGGCUUGUAUUAUUGUUUGCAUUAAAAUCAUUUGAUUUAUUUUCUCACGUAUUGUUACAUAAUUUAUACAUUAUUUAAAAAAUCGUUAUCAAUAUCGGUUUGUAUAGGCUUAUUAUAAAUGGC